UACGGGGGAUGCAAGCGUUAUCCGGAAUUAUUGGGCGUAAAGCGUCCGCAGGUGGCUAAUCAAGUCUGUUGUCAAAGCGCGGAGCUUAACUCCGUACAGGCGAUGGAAACUGGUUGGCUAGAGUUAGGUAGGGGUAAGAGGAAUUCCCAGUGUAGCGGUGAAAUGCGUAGAUAUUGGGAAGAACACCGGCGGCGAAAGCGUCUUACUGGGCCUAAACUGACACUGAGGGACGAAGGUGCGGGGAUCAAACAGG
RNAcentral lists this ribosomal RNA (253 nucleotides) under uncultured bacterium. Its description in RNAcentral is "partial 16S ribosomal RNA". It matches the Rfam family "Bacterial small subunit ribosomal RNA", at positions 524 to 776 of the family's 1533-position model. The record is from RNAcentral.